UACGUAGGGUGCAAGCGUUAAUCGGAAUUACUGGGCGUAAAGCGUGCGCAGGCGGCUUUGCAAGACAGAUGUGAAAUCCCCGGGCUCAACCUGGGAACUGCAUUUGUGACUGCAAGGCUAGAGUACGGUAGAGGGGGAUGGAAUUCCACGUGUAGCAGUGAAAUGCGUAGAUAUGUGGAGGAACACCGAUGGCGAAGGCAGGUCUCUGGGCAUUAACUGACGCUGAGGAGCGAAAGCAUGGGGAGCGAACAGG
Molecule: ribosomal RNA, 253 nt
Filed under: uncultured bacterium
Lineage: Bacteria
Description: partial 16S ribosomal RNA
Rfam family: Bacterial small subunit ribosomal RNA
Source: RNAcentral